UACGUAGGGGGCAAGCGUUAUCCGGUUUUACUGGGUGUAAAGGGGGCGCAGACGGCAGCGCAAGCCAGGAGUGAAAGCCCGAGGCCCAACCCCGGGACUGCUCUUGGAACUGCGCGGCUGGAGUGCCGGAGGGGCAGGCGGAAUUCCUGGUGUAGCGGUGAAAUGCGUAGAUAUCAGGAGGAACACCGGUGGCGAAGGCGGCCUGCUGGACUGCGACUGACGUUGAGGCCCGAAAGCGUGGGGAGCAAACAGG
Molecule: ribosomal RNA, 253 nt
Filed under: uncultured bacterium
Lineage: Bacteria
Description: partial 16S ribosomal RNA
Rfam family: Bacterial small subunit ribosomal RNA
Source: RNAcentral